Molecule: small RNA, 21 nt
Filed under: Arabidopsis thaliana (thale cress)
Lineage: Eukaryota; Viridiplantae; Streptophyta; Magnoliopsida; Brassicales; Brassicaceae
Description: ATSL076300
Source: RNAcentral
CGUCUUCUUCUUCGUCUUCUC